This 466-nucleotide ribosomal RNA is filed under the name uncultured bacterium. RNAcentral's name for it is "partial 16S ribosomal RNA". It matches the Rfam family "Bacterial small subunit ribosomal RNA", at positions 28 to 507 of the family's 1533-position model. The record is from RNAcentral.
GACGAACGCUGGCGGCGCGCCUAACACAUGCAAGUCGAACGAGCGAGAGAGAGCUUGCUUUCUCGAGCGAGUGGCGAACGGGUGAGUAACGCGUGAGGAACCUGCCUCAAAGAGGGGGACAACAGUUGGAAACGACUGCUAAUACCGCAUAAGCCCACGGUGCCGCAUGGCACAGAGGGAAAAGGAGCAAUCCGCCUUGAGAUGGCCUCGCGUCCGAUUAGCUAGUUGGUGAGGUAAUGGCCCACCAAGGCGACGAUCGGUAGCCGGACUGAGAGGUUGAACGGCCACAUUGGGACUGAGACACGGCCCAGACUCCUACGGGAGGCAGCAGUGGGGAAUAUUGCACAAUGGGGGAAACCCUGAUGCAGCGACGCCGCGUGGAGGAAGAAGGUCUUCGGAUUGUAAACUCCUGUUGUUGGGGAAGAUAAUGACGGUACCCAACAAGGAAGUGACGGCUAACUACGUG